AGAGUUUGAUCCUGGCUCAGAGUGAACGCUGGCGGUAGGCCUAACACAUGCAAGUCGAACGGCAGCACAGUAAGAGCUUGCUCUUACGGGUGGCGAGUGGCGGACGGGUGAGGAAUACAUCGGAAUCUACUUUUUCGUGGGGGAUAACGUAGGGAAACUUACGCUAAUACCGCAUACGACCUACGGGUGAAAGCAGGGGAUCUUCGGACCUUGCGCGAUUGAAUGAGCCGAUGUCGGAUUAGCUAGUUGGCGGGGUAAAGGCCCACCAAGGCGACGAUCCGUAGCUGGUCUGAGAGGAUGAUCAGCCACACUGGAACUGAGACACGGUCCAGACUCCUACGGGAGGCAGCAGUGGGGAAUAUCGGACAAUGGGCGCAAGCCUGAUCCAGCCAUACCGCGUGGGUGAAGAAGGCCUUCGGGUUGUAAAGCCCUUUUGUUGGGAAAGAAAUCCAGCUGGUUAAUACCCGGUUGGGAUGACGGUACCCAAAGAAUAAGCACCGGCUAACUUCGUGCCAGCAGCCGCGGUAAUACGAAGGGUGCAAGCGUUACUCGGAAUUACUGGGCGUAAAGCGUGCGUAGGUGGUUGUUUAAGUCUGUUGUGAAAGCCCUGGGCUCAACCUGGGAACUGCAGUGGAAACUGGACGACUAGAGUGUGGUAGAGGGUAGCGGAAUUCCUGGUGUAGCAGUGAAAUGCGUAGAGAUCAGUGGAACAUCCAUGGCGAAGCAGCUACCUGGACCAACACUGACACUGAGGCACGAAAGCGUGGGGAGCAAACAGGAUU
Molecule: ribosomal RNA, 782 nt
Filed under: uncultured bacterium
Lineage: Bacteria
Description: bacterial SSU rRNA
Rfam family: Bacterial small subunit ribosomal RNA
Source: RNAcentral